This is a non-coding RNA of Phrynosoma platyrhinos (Desert horned lizard), 71 nucleotides long. The record is from the annotation of a GenBank genome assembly. Lineage: Eukaryota; Metazoa; Chordata; Lepidosauria; Squamata; Phrynosomatidae.
GCCAACAUGGUGUAAUGGUUUGAGCACUGGAUUCUGACUCUAGAGAGCAGGGUUCAGUUCCCUGCUUGGCC